Molecule: ribosomal RNA, 253 nt
Filed under: uncultured bacterium
Lineage: Bacteria
Description: partial 16S ribosomal RNA
Rfam family: Bacterial small subunit ribosomal RNA
Source: RNAcentral
CACAGAGGGUGCGAGCGUUAAUCGGAAUUACUGGGCGUAAAGCGUGCGUAGACGGUUAUUUAAGUCGGGUGUGAAAGCCCCGGGCUCAACCUGGGAAUUGCAUUCGAGACUGAAUAGCUAGGGUACGGUAGAGGGAAGUGGAAUUUCCGGUGUAGCGGUGAAAUGCGUAGAUAUCGGAAGGAACAUCAGUGGCGAAGGCGGAUCUCUGGGCCAUUACUGACGCUGAGGAGCGAAAGCGUGGGGAGCGAACAGG